AUGGAGUGUGACAAGGCCAGGUGACAGGCCUGACAUGCGGUGUCCACAUCCAGAAGGGAGACCCUGGAGGGAUGACCCUCCACUGCCACCCCCUCCCAUCAGGCUCUGGACACCCUUGAGCCUCCCACCAUCCACCUUACCAGAUCCCCCCAAGAGCCCGGGAAGCUCACUCCCCCAGGGGACCAGGAGCACAGCCCCUUCCAUCCCUAACGGGCCUGACUCCCAAAGGGGGGUGAGGAAAGAAAAAGCCAUUUCACAUCGACUUAUUCUUCUGGCCCCAGGCAGCAGCACAGGGCGCAGGGUGGGCCUCUGCAGACAUGAUGGCUCCGUGGUCAGGGAGGGGCCACCUCCCAUGUGCCUGGGGAGGGGCCCUCCCAAGCCCCUGCAUGGCAGCGCCAAGGGGUUGGAGUCAGCCCCAGCACACACAGGGCCCUGCUCACUGGUGGCCAUUGUCAGCGCCACCUCCACCUUCAGGAGCCUGCCACGUGCCUGCCCUCGGUCACUUAGCCCUCCCUGGCACGCACCACUUUGUCCACACACCCUGUGUGUAAGUGGUGACAGCGGUGACAGCUCAGGCGUCACCUGAUCGGGCCGACUCUAAACCUUAGUCCUUCCUUGUCCUGUUGCGCCGGACAAGCCUCUGGGAGGCAACGGUGGGACAGCCACAGUGUUCUUGGCUCAGCCCCCAGGAGUGGGGAGCUGGGGCUCUGGACGGAGGCGGGCACUCGAGGCUGGUGUGGCCUCCUGGGUGAGGGCCAGGCUCGGGAGAGGCAGCCAGGCGGCCCCAAGCCACCCCAGGAACAAAGCACCAGCACACACCUCCACUGGUUUGCUAGGGCUGGGAGAAGUUGGAGUGUUUCUGUGGUGGCCGUGGCAGCCCACGGCCCCAAGACCCUGGCUUCCUUCUGCUCCCACCUUUUCAGGCCCCUUCCCCAACAAGCAGCUACUGUAGGACCCAGUGGGGGCUAGGGCACCAGCAGCUGCCAUUACCCAUGCUGGGGCCUGAUGGUUCCUGACCAGCCUCAACCGUGGAUUCCAAGCUGGGGAAGGAAGAAGCAGGCCGGGAGUGGGGAGGGAGACAGUGAAGGACAUCCAAACACACACACACACACACACACACACACACACACACACACACACAGAACAGCUUCAGCUUUGUUUCCCAGUAAUCUCACUUAAAAAGAACACUUGGGUUUACCAUGUUCACAUAAUCUCGUUGCUCUGAGAAUGAACUUAUUCUUCCUCCCAGCUUGGCCAUGUGUCCCUCCCCAUUGCCCAAGUCCCCUCACGACACCAUCUCCCACUGCCAUGUCCUUUCCUUGGGGACCUCCAAGUCCCUGGAGUUUGGGGACUGCAGGGUGGGUGGAGGGGCCCACAAGCUCUGCAGGGAGCCAGAAGGAAACGGUCUGUCCUACCCCAGGGCUGAGCACCUCGCUGGGAGAUGAUACCCACACCUGGAAAUAGCUCAAGGGCCGCGUGAGGCCGCACGACACCCACGCCAGUAUGAGACACCUGGCCAUGCAGCAUUCCUGGCCGAUUGCUGACAGCUGCAGGCUUUGUCAGCCAGGUGAUGUCCCCGGGGUCUCUGGGCAGGCGGGGCACACAGGAGGCAGCUCGCGCUCACUCAUCAUGGCGAGGCAGGUCGUGUGGAACUUCCUUGGUCUUCCUCAUCUGCGCCCCACCCAGCCUGGCAGACGGUGAUGCUGUGAGUGCCAGGGAAACACACACACGCACACACACACACAUGCACACAUGUACAGACAGGUGCACACAUGCCUGGGAGAGUCUGUGCUGCUCAGCUUCCGAGGGCAGCUCCCCAGGUCCCCCCAGGGUCUGCGGUAGGAGGCGAGUCUUUUAACAUCGGCCCAAACCAAACAGGACGAGGAGGGCGAAUCGGCCGUCCUCAAUAAAUCCUAGGGAGUCCCUCCAAGGCAAACAGAAAAUGCACCCCAGCUUUCACUUUUAGGGGUUUGAGUUGCGAGUUUCCAGUCUGCGGAGUGUGAUGGCCGGGUGUAAGUCUGAAACCCUCUGGGGGAGAGAAGCCGCACAGUGCAGGGGCACACAUCCCAGCUCCACUCCCCAGCUGUGAGGCCCAGGCGCAUUCCGCGUUCCCCGCCCAUCUCCACCUCCGAGGGUUGCGGGAGGCUGAGCAGUUAGAACCGUGGCUGGCGUACGGAGGGCACUCGGUAAACGUGGCUGUGCUGAGCUGUGGGCCUCGGAGUCUCGCGGGGCUGCUGGACCAGUGACCUUGCACUGGGCGGCCUAAAACAACAUGUGUUUCCUCACAGCUCGGGGGACCAGAGCUUAGAAUCUGGGGGUCACAGAGGAGGGUCCAUGCUCAUCCAGGUCAGCUCUAGGGGCUGCAGGCCACCCCUAAUCUAGGAUGGUCUUAUGUUGAGGUCCUUAAUUACAUCCACAAAGACCCUUUCCGCAGAUAAGUCCCCACGCACAGUUCCCAGGGACAGCCUCUGGGGCAGCAUCACCACCCACUCAGUCCUCCAUGCACCCCCUUGUGCUAUCACGUAACUUGGAUCAGGUCCACGUGUGUGGCUUUGCAGCUUUCCUUUGUCACAGCAUGUCACAACUGUUUUCCUGGGUGUCACUACUGUGGUUUGAAUUUGUGUGUCCCCAGCCUUCAUAUGUUGGAACCUGAGACCCAAGAAGAUCGUUAUAAGACAUGGGGCCUUUGGAAGGUGAUUAAGUCACCAGGGUCCCCAUUGAAGCGCUUGGGAAACCAUCGAGGCCCCCUCCCCUUUGUCCUCUCACCUUCCGCCGGGAGAGGACACAGCAAGAGGCACCCACUGGGAGGCAGAGAGCAGCCCCCACUCCCACCGAGGCUGCUGGCACCAAGACCCUGGACUUCCAGCCUCCAGAAGCAUGAGAAAUAAAUGUCUAUUGUGUGUCAAUG
Molecule: long non-coding RNA, 2908 nt
Filed under: Pan troglodytes (chimpanzee)
Lineage: Eukaryota; Metazoa; Chordata; Mammalia; Primates; Hominidae
Description: lincRNA
Source: RNAcentral